RNAcentral lists this ribosomal RNA (484 nucleotides) under uncultured bacterium. Its description in RNAcentral is "partial 16S ribosomal RNA". It matches the Rfam family "Bacterial small subunit ribosomal RNA", at positions 29 to 507 of the family's 1533-position model. The record is from RNAcentral.
AUUGAACGCUGGCGGCAUGCUUUACACAUGCAAGUCGAACGGCAGCGCGGGCUUCGGCCUGGCGGCGAGUGGCGAACGGGUGAGUAAUACAUCGGAACGUGCCCAGUAGUGGGGGAUAGCUCGGCGAAAGCCGGAUUAAUACCGCAUACGACCUGAGGGUGAAAGCGGGGGAUCUUCGGACCUCGCGCUAUUGUAGCGGCCGAUGGCAGAUUAGCUAGUUGGUGGGGUAAAGGCCUACCAAGGCGACGAUCUGUAGCUGGUCUGAGAGGACGACCAGCCACACGGGGACUGAGACACGGCCCAGACCCCUACGGGAGGCAGCAGUGGGGAAUUUUGGACAAUGGGCGAAAGCCUGAUCCAGCAAUGCCGCGUGUGUGAUGAAGGCCUUCGGGUUGUAAAGCACUUUUGGCGGGAACGAAAAGGACUGUGCCAAUACCACGGUUCGAUGACGGUACCCGCAGAAUAAGCACCGGCUAACUACGUG